CUCACUGAAGAAGCGAGGUUCCCUAUGUUCCCGGACAAAGUAGAGGGAAAAAAAUAGUAAAAAAGAAGAGAGUGACUACUCUUAGGUUUCAAACCUGGAACAAAUGACCAUUCUGUUCGGCAGGAAAGAGUUGGGCAGUUGAAACUACAAGUUGGAAACUACAGAAUGUUUUGGAAGAACCUCCUGUCUUCACUUUAAAAUUCAGGAGACAGAGAAGAACCUACAUCUCAUGAUGUUUUGAAGAUUAAAGACAGCAUGUAGACUCAUGAGAAAGAGAUUGGCAAAGAAUGUGAAGAGCCUAUCGCCUUCCUAGCAUUCGAAAAUUUGAAUGACUACUGGCUGUUAUUUUGAUUGAGAGAGCUAUGAAACUUGGGCAAAUUGGCAGUAGCUAGCAUUUGGAAAGGAAG
RNAcentral lists this long non-coding RNA (407 nucleotides) under Cricetulus griseus (Chinese hamster). RNAcentral describes it as "lncRNA (ENSCGRG00015042986.1)". Lineage: Eukaryota; Metazoa; Chordata; Mammalia; Rodentia; Cricetidae. The record is from RNAcentral.